This 471-nucleotide ribosomal RNA is filed under the name uncultured Azospira sp. Its description in RNAcentral is "bacterial SSU rRNA". It matches the Rfam family "Bacterial small subunit ribosomal RNA", at positions 333 to 798 of the family's 1533-position model. The record is from RNAcentral. Lineage: Bacteria; Pseudomonadati; Pseudomonadota; Betaproteobacteria; Rhodocyclales; Rhodocyclaceae.
UGACCUACGGGGGGCAGCAGUGGGGAAUUUUGGACAAUGGGCGCAAGCCUGAUCCAGCCAUGCCGCGUGAGUGAAGAAGGCCUUCGGGUUGUAAAGCUCUUUCGGCUGGGAAGAAAUCGCAUCUCCUAAUACGGGGUGUGGAUGACGGUACCAGCAUAAGAAGCACCGGCUAACUACGUGCCAGCAGCCGCGGUAAUACGUAGGGUGCGAGCGUUAAUCGGAAUUACUGGGCGUAAAGCGUGCGCAGGCGGGUUCGUAAGACAGGGGUGAAAUCCCCGGGCUCAACCUGGGAACGGCCUUUGGGACUGCGAGGCUAGAGUAUGGCAGAGGGGGGUGGAAUUCCACGUGUAGCAGUGAAAUGCGUAGAGAUGUGGAGGAACACCGAUGGCGAAGGCAGCCCCCUGGGCCAAUACUGACGCUCAUGCACGAAAGCGUGGGGAGCAAACAGGAUUAGAUACCCUGGUAGUCCCC